AGUGAACGCUGGCGGUAGGCCUAACACAUGCAAGUCGAACGGCAGCACAGUAAGAGCUUGCUCUUACGGGUGGCGAGUGGCGGACGGGUGAGGAAUACAUCGGAAUCUACUUUUUCGUGGGGGAUAACGUAGGGAAACUUACGCUAAUACCGCAUACGGCCUACGGGUGAAAGCAGGGGAUCUUCGGACCUUGCGCGAUUGAAUGAGCCGAUGUCGGAUUAGCUAGUUGGCGGGGUAAAGGCCCACCAAGGCGACGAUCCGUAGCUGGUCUGAGAGGAUGAUCAGCCACACUGGAACUGAGACACGGUCCAGACUCCUACGGGAGGCAGCAGUGGGGAAUAUUGGACAAUGGGCGCAAGCCUGAUCCAGCCAUACCGCGUGGGUGAAGAAGGCCUUCGGGUUGUAAAGCCCUUUUGUUGGGAAAGAAAUCCAGCCGGCUAAUACCUGGUUGGGAUGACGGUACCCAAAGAAUAGGCACCGGCUAACUUCGUG
Molecule: ribosomal RNA, 492 nt
Filed under: uncultured bacterium
Lineage: Bacteria
Description: partial 16S ribosomal RNA
Rfam family: Bacterial small subunit ribosomal RNA
Source: RNAcentral